GAUGGGAUUCAUUCAAUUGAGAUUCUUGAAGGGAAGAUCAAACUAUCUUGUCCUCGUGCAGCUGUUAAUGUGGGCUCUGUAGUGGACUUCAUUACAGUUCAUCACCCUGAAACCCCUGUUCCUGCCUACUUUCAAACGCCAAAACCUGCCCCAGCCCCUGCUGCCCCUUGGUCCCCAGGUUUUGUCUAUCCUCAGCCUUUAAAGCCAACUAUAGCUACUCGCAAACCUAUUCCUACCUUCCCUGAGCCUUCAAAACCUGCCUCAGCCACUGCUGUCCCGUGGAUCCCAGGCUUUGUGUUCCCUGAGCCUUCAAAACCUGCCUCAGCCACUGCUGUCCCGUGGAUCCAAGGCUUUGUGUUCCCUGAGCCUUCAAAACCUGCCUCAGCCACUGCUGCCCCUUGGCCCCCAGGCUUUGUGUUCCCUGAGCCUUCAAAACCUGCCUCAGCCACUGCUGUCCCGUGGAUCCAAGGCUUUGUGUUCCCUGAGCCUUCAAAACCUGCCUCAGCCACUGCUGCCCCUUGGCCCCCAGGCUUUGUGUUCCCUGAGCCUUCAAAACCUGCCUCAGCCACUGCUGCCCCUUGGCCCCCAGGCUUUGUGUUCCCUGAGCCUUCAAAACCUGCUUCAGCUCCUGCUGCCCCUUGGUCCCCAGGUUUUGUCUAUCCUCAGCCUUUAAAGCCAACUAUAGCUACUCCCAAACAUCUUCCUACCUUCCCUCAUCCUUCAAAACCUGUCCCAGCCACUGCUGCCCCUUGGUUCCCAGGCUUUCUGUUCCCUCAGCCUUCAAAACCUGCUCUAGCCACUGCUGCCCCUAGACCAGCUCCUGCCUACCCUAAGCCUGAAACUAGAAGAGAUGCUUUGCCUCCUCAUCAAUCCUAUAACAGUCCUAUUCCACCUUGGUCUGUCUACCUUCAGCCUGCUGCUUCUACCUGGGGCCCUCGGCGUUUCUACCCUCCCUACAGGAGCCACCCUCCAGCUGGCUACCCUUGCGGUUACUCUAACUGUUGGCCUAUCUCAUAUCAUCAGCACAACCACCUCCACCUGGAUUCGGGUAACUUUGCUGACUGUGCUCAAGUUUCUGCCCUAGCUGGAGAGCCUCAUCCUGCCUCUUAUGUCCCAGUAUUGCCUUAUUCCAAGAAAUAUAACCUGCAAUAUGCCCCCUUUUCCUCCAAGUCACUGCUUGGUGGUUCUGCCAUCCAGUUACCAACUCCAGCUUUGCCCCCUCAGGUAUCGCAUCAAGCCUUCAAGAACUAUUGGGACCUUGUUGUGCCUUUCUCUAGCUCUCAAUCUAACCCUAAAGGCCCUUCUGCACUACACUCAACCUCUCUUUCUCAAGAAGCUGUUGAUGUCCCUUUGCCUCACCCUCAUCUUGGGUCUAAUGCCAAUAAUUACUGGUCUGAUACUAGGCCUCUGUACCCUGCUCCUCAAACCCCAAAGCAACCAAUAUUUCCCCAUCGACCAGUCCAGCAUUUUAGUAAUGGCCAUAAGCCUCGUUGGUGA
This 1497-nucleotide long non-coding RNA is filed under the name Scleropages formosus (Asian bonytongue). Its description in RNAcentral is "lncRNA (ENSSFOG00015025363.1)". The record is from RNAcentral. Lineage: Eukaryota; Metazoa; Chordata; Actinopteri; Osteoglossiformes; Osteoglossidae.